Molecule: non-coding RNA, 87 nt
Organism: Mycena maculata
Lineage: Eukaryota; Fungi; Basidiomycota; Agaricomycetes; Agaricales; Mycenaceae
Source: the annotation of a GenBank genome assembly
GCCCUCGUAGAUGAACGGUACAUCUUCUCUUUUCUGUAGUCAAUACAGGCUUUUGGAGGCGCCUGGGUUCGACUCCCAGUCUGGGCA